This 278-nucleotide ribosomal RNA is filed under the name uncultured bacterium. RNAcentral's name for it is "partial 16S ribosomal RNA". It matches the Rfam family "Bacterial small subunit ribosomal RNA", at positions 28 to 297 of the family's 1533-position model. The record is from RNAcentral.
GAUGAACGCUGGCGGCGUGCCUAAUACAUGCAAGUCGAACGCACAGCGAAAGGUGCUUGCACCUUUCAAGUGAGUGGCGAACGGGUGAGUAACACGUGGGUAACCUACCAUCAGCGGGGGAUAACACUUGGAAACAGGUGCUAAUACCGCAUAAUUCUUUUCUUCGCCUGAAGGGAAGAUGAAAGACGCUUUUGCGUCACUGAUGGAUGGACCCGNGCUGCAUUAGCUAGUUGGUGGGUAACGGCUCACCAAGGCCACGAUGCAUAGCCGACCUGAGA